AGAGUUUGAUCAUGGCUCAGGAUAAACGCUGGCGGCGUGCCUAACACAUGCAAGUCGAACGCUCUACUUUCGGGUAGAGAGUGGCGGACGGGUGAGGAACACGUGGGUAUCUGCCUUUCGGUGAGGAAUACCGGCGAGAAAUCGCCGACAAUACCGCAUAUCCUUCUUUCGGGAAGGAAAGUCGUAAGACGCCGGGAGAUGAGCCUGCGCCCGAUUAGCUGGUUGGUGGGGUAAUGGCCUACCAAAGCGACGAUCAGUAGCUGGUCUGAGAGGACGAUCAGCCACACUGGGAUUGAGAACGGCCCAGACUCCUACGGGGGGCAGCAGUGAGGAAUUUUCGUCAAUGGCCGAAAGGCUGAACGAGCAACGCCGCGUGCAGGAAGAAGGUCUUCGGAUCGUAAACUGCUUUUCUCUGGGACGAGAACGGACGGUACCAGAGGAAGAAGCCCCGGCUAACUACGUGCCAGCCGCCGCGGUAAUAC
RNAcentral lists this ribosomal RNA (482 nucleotides) under uncultured bacterium. Its description in RNAcentral is "bacterial SSU rRNA". It matches the Rfam family "Bacterial small subunit ribosomal RNA", at positions 8 to 526 of the family's 1533-position model. The record is from RNAcentral.